This 433-nucleotide ribosomal RNA is filed under the name uncultured bacterium. RNAcentral's name for it is "partial 16S ribosomal RNA". It matches the Rfam family "Bacterial small subunit ribosomal RNA", at positions 29 to 507 of the family's 1533-position model. The record is from RNAcentral.
AACGAACGCUGGCGGCAUGCCUAACACAUGCAAGUCGAACGAGCCCUUCGGGUCUAGUGGCGCACGGGUGCGUAACGCGUGGUAACCUGCCCUUAGGUUCGGAAUAACUCCCCGAAAGGGGUUCUAAUACCGGAUAAUGUCUUCUGACCAAAGAAUUAUCGCCUUUGGAUGGGCCCGCGUUGGAUUACCUAGUUGGUAUGGUAAAAGCCUACCAAGGCGACGAUCCAUAGCUGGUCUGAGAGUAUGGUCAGCCACGCUGGAACUGAGACACGGCCCAGACUCCUACGGGAAGCAGCAGUGGGGAAUAGUGGAAAAUGGGGGAAAGCCUGAUCCAGCUAUGCCGGGUGAGUGAAGAAGGCGUUAGGGUUGUAAAGCUCUUUUACCCGGGAUGAUAAUGACAGUACCGGGAGAAUAAGCUACGGCUAACUCCGUG